GACGAACGCUGGCGGCGUGCUUAACACAUGCAAGUCGAACGCUGAAGCUCAGCUUGCUGGGUGGAUGAGUGGCGAACGGGUGAGUAACACGUGAGUAACCUGCCCUCUUCUUUGGGAUAACGCCCGGAAACGGGUGCUAAUACUGGAUAUUCACUGAUUCUCGCAUGGGGGUUGGUGGAAAGGUUAUUUCUGGUGGGGGAUGGGCUCGCGGCCUAUCAGCUCGUUGGUGGGGUGAUGGCCUACCAAGGCUUUGACGGGUAGCCGGCCUGGGAGGGUGACCGGUCACAUUGGGACUGGGAUACGGCCCAGACGGCUACGGGAGGCAGCAGUGGGGAAUAUUGCACAAUGGGCGAAAGCCUGAUGCAGCGACGCCGCGUGAGGGAUGGAGGCCUUCGGGUUGUAAACCUCUUUCGCUCAUGGUCAAGCCGCAGCUUUGGGUUGUGGUGAGGGUAGUGGGUAAAGAAGCGCCGGCUAACUACGUG
This 482-nucleotide ribosomal RNA is filed under the name uncultured bacterium. RNAcentral's name for it is "partial 16S ribosomal RNA". It matches the Rfam family "Bacterial small subunit ribosomal RNA", at positions 28 to 507 of the family's 1533-position model. The record is from RNAcentral.